Molecule: ribosomal RNA, 482 nt
Filed under: uncultured bacterium
Lineage: Bacteria
Description: partial 16S ribosomal RNA
Rfam family: Bacterial small subunit ribosomal RNA
Source: RNAcentral
AGUGAACGUUGGCGGCGUGGAUUAGGCAUGCAAGUCGAGCGAGAACCGUAGCAAUACGGGGACAGCGGCGAAAGGGACAGUAAUGUGUAGGUACCUACCCCGAGGUCUGGGAUAGCUGCGGGAAACUGCAGGUAAUACCGGAUAAUGUCUUCGGACCAAAGGUGUGAUUCCACCUUGGGAGGGGCCUGCAUCCUAUUAGCUUGUUGGCGGGGUAACGGCCCACCAAGGCGACGAUGGGUAGCGGGUGUGAGAGCACGACCCGCGUCAUUGGGACUGAGCCACUGCCCAGACACCGACGGGUGGCUGCAGUCGAGGAUCUUCGGCAAUGGGCGCAAGCCUGACCGAGCGACGCCGCGUGCGGGAUGAAGGCCUUCGGGUUGUAAACCGCUGUCGUAGAGGAGGAAAUGCAGGGGGGUUCUCCCUUCUGUUUGACCUAUUCUAGGAGGAAGGACGGGCUAAGUUCGUGCCAGCCGCCGCCGUAA